AAUGCUGGCGGCAUGCCUAAUACAUGCAAGUCGAGCGGCAGCGAGGGUCUCAUCCUGUUCUUGAAGUUUCGAGAAUAGAAUGAGAUCUGUCGGCGAGCGGCGGACGGCUGAGUAACGCGUGGGAACGGACCCCAAACUGAGGGAUAACUAGUCGAAAGAUUAGCUAAUACCGCAUGUGAUCUUCGGGUUAAAGCUUUCGAGCGGUUUGGGACUGGCCUGCGUACGAUUAGAUAGUUGGUGAGGUAAUGGCUCACCAAGUCGACGAUCGUUAGAUGGUUUGAGAGGAUGAUCAUCCAGACUGGGACUGAGACACGGCCCAGACUCCUACGGGAGGCAGCAGUAGGGAAUUUUCGGCAAUGGGGGAAACCCUGACCGAGCAACGCCGCGUGAAUGAAGACGUAAUUUCGGUAUGUAAAGUUCUUUUAUUAAGGAAGAAUAUCACGGAUAGGAAAUGAUCUGUGAGUGACGGUACUUAAUGAAUAAGCCCCGGCUAACUAUGUGCCAGCAGCAGC
RNAcentral lists this ribosomal RNA (512 nucleotides) under uncultured bacterium. Its description in RNAcentral is "bacterial SSU rRNA". It matches the Rfam family "Bacterial small subunit ribosomal RNA", at positions 32 to 518 of the family's 1533-position model. The record is from RNAcentral.